GUUGAAGUCUGUCCCAAUGGGGCUUUUUCUAUAGACCUACAUUGUUGGAAACGCUUCAUAGUUUCCUUUAUUCACAGAACUGUGUGUUAGAUCCAUCUGAAAGAACUACAAGAUAUAU
This is a small nucleolar RNA of Vulpes vulpes (red fox), 118 nucleotides long. The record is from Ensembl. Lineage: Eukaryota; Metazoa; Chordata; Mammalia; Carnivora; Canidae.